RNAcentral lists this ribosomal RNA (468 nucleotides) under uncultured bacterium. RNAcentral describes it as "partial 16S ribosomal RNA". It matches the Rfam family "Bacterial small subunit ribosomal RNA", at positions 28 to 507 of the family's 1533-position model. The record is from RNAcentral.
GACGAACGCUGGCGGCGUGCUUAACACAUGCAAGUCGAACGGAAAGGCCCUGCUUUUGUGGGGUGCUCGAGUGGCGAACGGGUGAGUAACACGUGAGUAACCUGCCCUUGAGUUUGGGAUAACUUCAGGAAACUGGGGCUAAUACCGGAUAGGAGCUCCUGCUGCAUGGGGGGGGUUGGAAAGUUUCGGCGGUGUUGGAUGGAUUCGCGGCUUAUCAGCUUGUUGGUGGGGUAGUGGCUUACCAAGGCUUUGACGGGUAGCCGGCCUGAGAGGGUGACCGGCCACAUUGGGACUGAGAUACGGUCCAGACUCCUACGGUAGGCAGCAGUGGGGAAUAUUGCAGAAUGGGCGGAAGCCUGAUGCAGCAACGCCGCGUGCGGGAUAACGGGCUUCGGGUUGUAAACCGCUGUCGACGGUGACGAAGCGUGCGUGACGGUAAUGGGUAAAGAAGCACCGGCUAACUACGUG